AUUGAACGCUGGCGGCAGGCCUAACACAUGCAAGUCGAACGGUAACAGGAAGAAGCUUGCUUCUUUGCUGACGAGUGGCGGACGGGAGAGGAAGGUCUGGGAAACUGCCUGAUGGAGGGGGAUAACUACUGGAAACGGUAGCUAAUACCGCAUAACGUCGCAAGACCAAAGAGGGGGACCUUCGGGCCUCUUGCCAUCGGCUGUGCCCAGAUGGGAUUAGCUAGUAGGUGGGGUAACGGCUCACCUAGGCGACGAUCCCUAGCUGGUCUGAGAGGAUGACCAGCCACACUGGAACUGAGACACGGUCCAGACUCCUACGGGAGGCAGCAGUGGGGAAUAUUGCACAAUGGGCGCAAGCCUGAUGCAGCCAUGCCGCGUGUAUGAAGAAGGCCUUCGGGUUGUAAAGUACUUUCAGCGGGGAGGAAGGGAGUUAAGUUAAUACCUUUACUCAUUGACGUUACCCACAGAAGAAGCACCGGCUAACUCCGUG
Molecule: ribosomal RNA, 490 nt
Filed under: uncultured bacterium
Lineage: Bacteria
Description: partial 16S ribosomal RNA
Rfam family: Bacterial small subunit ribosomal RNA
Source: RNAcentral